RNAcentral lists this ribosomal RNA (301 nucleotides) under uncultured bacterium. RNAcentral's name for it is "partial 16S ribosomal RNA". It matches the Rfam family "Bacterial small subunit ribosomal RNA", at positions 509 to 807 of the family's 1533-position model. The record is from RNAcentral.
CAGCCGCCGCGGGAAUACGGAGGGUGCAAGCGUUAAUCGGAAUUACUGGGCGUAAAGCGUGCGUAGGCGGUUUGUUAAGUCUGCUGUGAAAUCCCCGGGCUCAACCUGGGAAUGGCAGUGGAUACUGGCAAGCUAGAGUGUGUCAGAGGAUGGUGGAAUUCCCGGUGUAGCGGUGAAAUGCGUAGAGAUCGGGAGGAACAUCAGUGGCGAAGGCGGCCAUCUGGGACAACACUGACGCUGAGGCACGAAAGCGUGGGGAGCAAACAGGAUUAGAUACCCCUGUAGUCCCUGUCUCUUAUAC